Molecule: ribosomal RNA, 492 nt
Filed under: Reticunassa rotunda
Lineage: Eukaryota; Metazoa; Mollusca; Gastropoda; Neogastropoda; Nassariidae
Description: partial 12S ribosomal RNA
Source: RNAcentral
CGCGGUUAUACCAAGUGAUUAAGUUAUAUAUAUAGGUAAAAAGACAAUUAGGCGUAACAUUACAUAGUUUAUUGAGCAUUUAUGUAAAAGUAAAAUUUGUAUAUAGAUAGUCAAUUUAGCAAUGGCUUAUUAUGCUGAGCUUGUGAUAAUUUUGAGGGAAACUGGGAUUAGAUACCCCAUUAUUCUUGAUUGUAAAUAUAAAUAAAUUUACCAGAGUACUAUGAAUAGUUAAAAAUUUAAAACUCAAAGGGCUUGGCGGUGUUUUAGACCUAUCAGGGGAACCUGUCUCAUAAUCGACAGUCCACGUUGUACCUAACCUUAUUUUGUAACUCAGUUUGUAUACCGUCGUCGUCAGGUAACUUUUAAAAACGUAGAAGUUAGCAAUAGAAAUAGUAAAUUAAGACGUCAGAUCAAGGUGCAGCUUAUAAUAAGGAGAGGAUGGGUUACAAUUAUGAUAAUUAUAACUACGAAAAUUUAAAUGAAAAUAUUCUG